UGGGGAAUUUUGCACAAUGGGGGAAACCCUGAUGCAGCGACGCCGCGUGAUUUAGAAGGCCUUCGGGUUGUAAAAAUCUUUUGUAUGGGAAGAAAAUGACAGUACCAUACGAAUAAGGACCGGCUAAUUACGUGCCAGCAGCCGCGGUAAUACGUAAGGUCCGAGCGUUGUCCGGAAUCAUUGGGCGUAAAGGGUACGUAGGCGGAUAAGCAAGUUAGAAGUGAAAUCCUAUAGCUCAACUAUAGUAAGCUUUUAAAACUGCUAGGCUUGAGAGAUGGAAGGGAAAGUGGAAUUCCUAGUGUAGCGGUGAAAUGCGCAGAUAUUAGGAAGAAUACCGGUGGCGAAGGCGACUUUCUGGUCAUCAUCUGACGCUGCGGUACGAAAGCGUGGGUAGCAAACAGG
Molecule: ribosomal RNA, 402 nt
Filed under: Verrucomicrobiota bacterium
Lineage: Bacteria; Pseudomonadati; Verrucomicrobiota
Description: Verrucomicrobia bacterium partial 16S ribosomal RNA
Rfam family: Bacterial small subunit ribosomal RNA
Source: RNAcentral